AGCAGCCGCGGUAAUUCCAGCUCCAAUAGCGUAUAUUAAAGUUGUUGCAGUUAAAAAGCUCGUAGUUGAACUUCGGGGUCUACCCAUUGGUCAGGCUUAAUUGUCUGCACUGGUGAGAUGGAUCUCUACCUUCUGAGGAACUUUCAUGCCAUUUAUUUGGUGUGAUGGGAAAUCAGGACUGUUACUUUGAAAAAAUUAGAGUGUUUAAAGCAGACUAUCGUCUGAAUACAUUAGCAUGGAAUAAUGAAAUAGGACGGACUGAUUCUAUUUCGUUGGUUUCUAGGAUCACCGUAAUGAUUAAUAGGGAUAGUUGGGGGCAUUAGUAUUCAAUUGUCAGAGGUGAAAUUCUUGGAUUUAUGAAGACUAACUCUGCGAAGCAUUUGCCAAGGANGUUUUCAGUUAAUCAAGAACGAAAGUUAGGGGAUCGAAGACGAUCAGAUACCGUCGUAGCCUUAACCGAAUAAACUAUGUACCGACUAGGGACUCGGGACGGUGUUAAAAUUUUAGUUGAACCUCGUUC
RNAcentral lists this ribosomal RNA (520 nucleotides) under uncultured Diversispora. RNAcentral describes it as "SSU rRNA". It matches the Rfam family "Eukaryotic small subunit ribosomal RNA", at positions 569 to 1079 of the family's 1831-position model. Lineage: Eukaryota; Fungi; Glomeromycota; Glomeromycetes; Diversisporales; Diversisporaceae. The record is from RNAcentral.